This 253-nucleotide ribosomal RNA is filed under the name uncultured bacterium. RNAcentral's name for it is "partial 16S ribosomal RNA". It matches the Rfam family "Bacterial small subunit ribosomal RNA", at positions 524 to 776 of the family's 1533-position model. The record is from RNAcentral.
UACAGAGGGUGCAAGCGUUAAUCGGAAUUACUGGGCGUAAAGCGCACGUAGGUGGGUAAUUAAGUCGCAUGUGAAACCCCUGAGCUUAACUUAGGGACUGCAUGCGAUACUGGUUGCCUAGAGUAUAGUAGAGGGAAGUGGAAUUUCCGGAGUAGCGGUGAAAUGCGUAGAUAUCGGAAGGAACACCAGUGGCGAAGGCGGCUUCCUGGGCUAAUACUGACACUGAGGUGCGAAAGCGUGGGGAGCAAACAGG